CUGAACAACGCAUACGAACUUAUCGACGAUGAAAACAACCACUAUCACGGAUUAAACCGCUGGAACAAAAUUCACUACUUCACAAUCUUCUCCUCCGUAACACACAUUCAUAGGAAUUAAAUCCCCUAACUGCGCACCAUUACGCCAUUUCAAAAGAUGUAAUUGUAAACGACCCUAUAGAAAUUGAAAACUACAGAUAAACAAAAACCCCACUUACCAAAUCAAACGAAGGAAACUGGAAAUCAAAAAGCAAUGAUAUGACGACAGAUUAUGAACAGGAUAGAAGCAGAAAACAAAAAAGAAAAAAUACAGAAAAAGGAAAGAGAAGAAUGUCAGAAAGAAGAGGGAUUUUUGGGGAAAAAUGAAAUAAAAUUAAAUUAAAAUAUUUAAUUCAAAAUUAAAUCCCACUAAAAUCCCAACCCCCCAAUAUCCACAAACCAACAAACUCCCCCAAAACUGACCCAAUAACUUAUCCAAC
RNAcentral lists this long non-coding RNA (478 nucleotides) under Gossypium raimondii (Peruvian cotton). RNAcentral's name for it is "long non-coding RNA (GRAI_LNC007713)". Lineage: Eukaryota; Viridiplantae; Streptophyta; Magnoliopsida; Malvales; Malvaceae. The record is from RNAcentral.